UCUACAACAAAAAAAAAACUUCAAAACGCCAUAACCACUAUCACUAAUAGGCUCCUACUCUAACUUUGCUAGCUCCUCCUUCAAGAACCUCUUCCUAAGCCUGGGUUUCAAAAUAUAAAACAUUCUGGCGGUUGAGGCAUUUUGGAUCAUCUUCAUAUAUUUCCCCUAGCUUAUACAUCUGUUCAACAUACUCGUGCAUUUUUCUUCCUUGUUGAUGGAUAUUUUUUUUCUGAGUAUUAACUUCUUCAUGUGCUCUGCCCUUGCUCCCAUUGCCUUAGUAACAGUGGGUUGCCUCAUCUUGGAUUGAGAUAUCGGAGUGUUAAGUGCGGCUCGCCCCUUGGACUUGGAGGAAUUGGUUUCGUCUGGGCUAUUGGCCAAUGAGGAGUCUUCUGCCAUAUCAAUUGGGUCCAUUUGGGAAGAAGGCAUUCGCAGAAAAUUAGUUCCAACAUAGUAUUGUCUGGCAAACUCUUGUUUUGAUACUUUUUUAGGUCAAGUCUUAUUCAUAAAAAGGAAUGGCCAAGCAAAAUUUAGCAUACUACCCAUUCAACCUAAACAACGAAGAUAAAAAUAUAAGAAGAUUGGCAAUUUACUCACCGCUCUAUAGUCAUCCCAAAUGGCUGCUUUUGUUAUCA
RNAcentral lists this long non-coding RNA (632 nucleotides) under Amborella trichopoda. Its description in RNAcentral is "long non-coding RNA (ATRI_LNC002553)". Lineage: Eukaryota; Viridiplantae; Streptophyta; Magnoliopsida; Amborellales; Amborellaceae. The record is from RNAcentral.